CGAGCGGGCUGCAGUUUGAGGCGCCGAUGCAGAGCUAGGAGAACCCCUUAAGCAUGCAGACAACUACACGACAGAAGUGAAGAGCGUUUACCAGCGGCGGCGGCAGCAGCAGGUUGAGCAGCCGGAGCUCCUCACACCAUCUCCGUGAGGUAACUUCGCCAGCAGAGCCCUGACGGAUUCCUUCACUGAGGGAGGGGAGGCCCCUCCUGAGGGGAAAAAAGGCGCGAUAUCCCGAGCGGCCAAAGCGUCUCUCCUGUCGCCGGGCUCGUGCCUCCACCGGCGCCGGGGAGAGCCGAGGGAGGAAGGCUGCCUGCCUUGCCUGCCUGCCUGCCUUGCCUGCCUGCGAGCUUAGCCACCCAAGCAGCUCAGUGGCAGCUGCUCUCUGAAUCCAGCCUAGCGGCGGGCGGCACAACCACCAGGUUGCACGAGCUCCUGAAUGGGGGGCGCGAGCCAAUCCCCGGGCUCAGUGGCGCGCGCGCAGGGGUACCGUGCACAGGCGCGCCCGGCCGCCGGCUGCCUGCAAACAGCGAGAGCAGCAGCAGCAGCUUUAAAGCCAGAGCGGCGACGGCGGCGAACAGCGGCCGCUGGUGUUGUCACCCACCCUAGGCCCUGUGGUGAAAGCCAGAAAAGUCAAGGAUCGUGAUGGAAAUGAAUACUCUUCACUUUGCUCAGGAUAUACUUGGUACUUCACAGGGAAGAGUUGAACAUUACAGCCUUUUAUUUCUGUGAUCAAUAGAACUAGAGGGAGGCAGUGACUACCUACUCCAAUGAACAGUCCAAUUGCUGAACCAGAAGUAAGGAUGACUCCUGGGAAUACUGUCAUUUCUCCCAAAAUAUUUCAUAGGACACAGGUGGUGCUGUGGUCUAAACCACAGAGCCUAGGGCUUGCCAAUCAGAAGGUUGGCGGUUCGAAUCCCCGCUA
Podarcis raffonei (Aeolian wall lizard) is the source of this 922-nucleotide long non-coding RNA. RefSeq lists it as uncharacterized. Lineage: Eukaryota; Metazoa; Chordata; Lepidosauria; Squamata; Lacertidae. The transcript is spliced from 3 exons. The record is from RefSeq and is a predicted model, not a curated record.